RNAcentral lists this ribosomal RNA (423 nucleotides) under uncultured bacterium. RNAcentral describes it as "bacterial SSU rRNA". It matches the Rfam family "Bacterial small subunit ribosomal RNA", at positions 358 to 773 of the family's 1533-position model. The record is from RNAcentral.
GGAAUAUUGGACAAUGGGGGCAACACUGAUCCAGCAAUGCCGCGUGUGUGAAGAAGGCCUGCGGGUUGUAAAGCACUUUCAGUAGAGAAGAAAAGCCUAAGGUUAAUAACCUUGAGUCUGGACGGAACCUACAGAAGAAGCACCGGCUACCUCCGUGACAGCAGCCGAGGUAAUACGGAGUGUGCAAGCGUUAAUCGGAAUUACUGGGCGUAAAGCGCGCGUAGGUGGUUUUGUAAGUCGGAUGUGAAAGCCCUGGGCUCAACCUGGGAAUUGCAUUCGAUACUGCUUAACUAGAGUAUGGUAGAGGGAAGUGGAAUUUCCGGUGUAGCGGUGAAAUGCGUAGAUAUCGGAAGGAACACCAGUGGCGAAGGCGACUUCCUGGGCCAAUACUGACACUGAGGUGCGAAAGCGUGGGUAGCAAAC